RNAcentral lists this non-coding RNA (24 nucleotides) under Mus musculus (house mouse). Lineage: Eukaryota; Metazoa; Chordata; Mammalia; Rodentia; Muridae. The record is from RNAcentral.
ACUGGGAUCAAAAGGCGCUCCACC